Molecule: ribosomal RNA, 253 nt
Filed under: uncultured bacterium
Lineage: Bacteria
Description: partial 16S ribosomal RNA
Rfam family: Bacterial small subunit ribosomal RNA
Source: RNAcentral
UACAGAGGGGGCAAGCGUUGUUCGGAAUUACUGGGCGUAAAGGGCGCGUAGGCGGCCUUCUAAGUCGAACGUGAAAUCCCCGGGCUCAACUUGGGAACUGCGUCUGAUACUGGAUGGCUUGAAUUCGGGAGAGGGAUGCAGAAUUCCAGGUGUAGCGGUGAAAUGCGUAGAUAUCAGGAGGAACACCGGUGGCGAAGGCGGGUCUCUGGGCCGAUACUGACGCUGAGGAGCGAAAGCGUGGGGAGCGAACAGG